GUGUAAGGAAGAACAGAAGGAUCCAAGUGUGAGAAAGCCCACCCUGAGUCUCUCAGAGAUUCAUUUCACUACCAGGUCAAAGACACAAUCAAAAGCCCGACAAAUGGAAUUUGUGGAAUUGGAACAAAAAGGCACAAGAACAUCAAAGCAUAAAUCCUUCAGGUAUCAGCAAUGACAUCACUUAAGAAUUUCUCAGAAUCUUUGGCACCACCCCAGGCCUACCGGAUCAGAAUCUGAAUUUUUUAACAAGAUCUCAGAUCUAGUCAAGAGUCCAGUCUGAUUUCUCUUUAUUGGGACUACCACCCAAAGCAGAAUGAGGAUGAUGUAACCACGCCCAGUGACUUCUGGAUACCACUGACUCUAGAUCCUGAAUUCCAGCAGAAUGGCUGACACCAACUGGUCUGAAGACCCUCACCAAGGAACUGACUCAGUGCAGGAAUGCAGUUUCUUCAUCUCCCUAUCCCUGACUUCACCCCUCACUUCUCAACCAAUCAGUGAUCACCACACUUUAGGCCAUCACCUGUGUCCAGACCCCUUAAAAACCCCAUCUGCAAACCUCUUGAAGAGGCAUAUUUGAGGUUUCCUCUCAUCUCCUCAUUUGGUUUCCCUACAAUUAUUAAAUUCUUUCUCUGCUGCAACUCCUACUUUUUCAGUGUAUUGGUCUGUUACUGUGCAACAGGAAAUCAGACCUGGUGGUCCUAUAGUAAGAGUUCACAGAAUAUGAUAUACAAAGUGAUCUGUGAUAUACAAAAACCGGCACAAUCUCACUCUUAAUAAGAAAAAUUCAACUUAAAAUUAAAAGUUUUUUUUCCUCAGAAUGGCAAAGAUCAAAGUUUGAUAACAUGGUUGGAAAGUAUGCAGACCGAUAUUCUCAUAUUCAUUGAUGAAGUGUAAAUUGAUACAUCCUUUGUCAGUACGGACAGGUUUCCCAACUCUAGGGGUGAAAUUUAUACAGACUACAGUGUGAAUGACAACCACUUCAAAUUGGGUGAUAUGAUGACCUUGACUCUGUGGAGGGUCAUUUGGCAAAAUAUCUCAAAAUAAAAAUGUACAUACAAUUUGA
Molecule: long non-coding RNA, 1063 nt
Filed under: Homo sapiens (human)
Lineage: Eukaryota; Metazoa; Chordata; Mammalia; Primates; Hominidae
Description: HSALNT0320848
Source: RNAcentral